RNAcentral lists this ribosomal RNA (431 nucleotides) under uncultured bacterium. RNAcentral describes it as "bacterial SSU rRNA". It matches the Rfam family "Bacterial small subunit ribosomal RNA", at positions 355 to 776 of the family's 1533-position model. The record is from RNAcentral.
UGAGGAAUAUUGCGCAAUGGGGGAAACCCUGACGCAGCGACGCCGCGUGAGUGAUGAAGGCCUUCGGGUUGUAAAGCUCUGUCAGAGGGAAAGAAAGGUGUGUCGGAACAAUACCCGGCACAAUUGACGGUACCCUCGGAGGAAGCACCGGCUAACUCCGUGCCAGCAGCCGCGGUAAUACGGAGGGUGCAAGUGUUAUUCGGAAUCACUGGGCGUAAAGAGCACGUAGGCGGAUAGGUAAGUCAGAUGUGAAAUCCCGGGGCUUAACUUCGGAACUGCAUUUGAUACUGCCUGUCUUGAGUGUGGUAGAGGGGGAUGGAAUUCCCGGUGUAGAGGUGAAAUUCGUAGAUAUCGGGAGGAACACCAGAGGCGAAGGCGAUCCCCUGGGCCAUUACUGACGCUGAGGUGCGAAAGCGUGGGGAGCAAACAGG